RNAcentral lists this unclassified non-coding RNA (217 nucleotides) under Hevea brasiliensis (rubber tree). The record is from RNAcentral. Lineage: Eukaryota; Viridiplantae; Streptophyta; Magnoliopsida; Malpighiales; Euphorbiaceae.
GCCAUUGUCGUCCUUGUUCAAAUCAAAAAUCGCCAUGGCCGGGCAGAACUGGUCUGCAUCCCGGCCAUUGCGGUUGUAGCGUUGCUGAAUCUUUCAAGACGCGGUGCCCGGCACCUUCGGCGCGAAGACAUGCUUCGCGCUUUGGGCCGGGCAGAACGUCAGAUUUCGCAAUAUCCCUUCAGCGCGCCCGUAAGACUUGGACUUACAGGGAGCGCUG